This 405-nucleotide long non-coding RNA is filed under the name Gossypium raimondii (Peruvian cotton). Its description in RNAcentral is "long non-coding RNA (GRAI_LNC001560)". Lineage: Eukaryota; Viridiplantae; Streptophyta; Magnoliopsida; Malvales; Malvaceae. The record is from RNAcentral.
GGGUGUAGAGGCGUGCAUGGCAGCGGCGCUAGAGGCUCGUUGUUGCUGCUAGGGUUUCUGGUCGUGUUGGGCUGCGUUGGGCCGUGAUAGUGUCUGGGCUAGAUGUAGUUGGGCUAGGUUGGGCUUGGGGUAGUGUCUGGGCUGUUUUAUUUGUAAAUAGACUUUUAAUAUUUUUUGUUUUUUAUUUUUAUUUAUAAAAUUGGGCCGGGCAAAUUAGGUAUUACACAAAAAAAGGAAGAAAUUCCUACACGAUAGUAUAUAUUAUUUUUGGGAGGAUCCAUUUUUGUUUAAACAGUGUGCAGAUAAUAUAAUCCAAAAGUGUGUAGCUGAAAGUUAGAUUGCUGAGAUCUUAUAUCAUUUCCAUUCAUCUCCAAGUGGGGGACACUUUGGUGGUUCACGUACUGC